UGACUCGUUUAAAACAGAACGACAAACUCAAAGUUCAUGAAACAAAGCUUUUACAGGCAAGUGUGGAAAUGAACUUGAUGAUAAUGUCCCAAAUCAUGUCUAAACAGAUGGAAGACCAACCAUACACUAUUCUACAGAUAAAGAUCAUACACAACAAUGCGAUUGCAAAAUAUACAGCCCAAUUAAAGUGAAACUACACAAAAUUUGAACCCCAGUGUUAGUCUAUUGACUAAAAAUCAAGUGAACAUGAUCCAGAAAUAUAUUGACCUAAUGGAUGGAUUAAAUUUUUUCUGACAUAGUGGGAGAUGUUCGUACUAAUGACCAGAAGAUGAAGUGUCCUAAUGUCGUGAUACAAAUUUGGAAUAAACACAUUUGAGCCAAGAAGGCCAUAUUUGAGAGGAACUACCAAAACUAGAGUGUCCAUUCAUCAGUCAUAAUUAAUAGUUUAGCAUUCUUGUUCUUGUAACAAGAAUGUUAUUUAAUAGCAUCUGAAUACAGGGAAACUUUAAAAGUCAUCUCCAUAGGUCUGGUCUGAGGAAAAUCCAUGAAGAAUAUUUUGGGCUUUAAAUAGUCCACAGGCUACCAAAUUAACUAAAAAUCUGAGAACAAAGUGUAAAUUUGACAAGACUCGGACUCAAAGCUUUAAAUAAUGAUUCGGAAAGAGUGACCAGAAUCAAUUUAAAGCACAUUUAUGGUCUACACAUACGUUCGAAAUGUGUGGCUCAGUAAUUUCUCCAAAGGCUGAACUUUAGUGCAAAUAAAAGGUUCUCUUUUCCAGCCACAUCUCGCACA
This is a long non-coding RNA of Carassius carassius (crucian carp), 792 nucleotides long. RefSeq lists it as uncharacterized. The record is from RefSeq and is a predicted model, not a curated record. Lineage: Eukaryota; Metazoa; Chordata; Actinopteri; Cypriniformes; Cyprinidae. The transcript has 2 exons.